RNAcentral lists this ribosomal RNA (1077 nucleotides) under uncultured eukaryote. RNAcentral's name for it is "SSU rRNA". It matches the Rfam family "Eukaryotic small subunit ribosomal RNA", at positions 45 to 1139 of the family's 1831-position model. The record is from RNAcentral.
UAAGCCAUGCAUGUCUCAGUAUAAGUCUUAACAUGACGAAACUGCGAAUGGCUCAUUAAAACAGUUAUAGUUUAUUUGAUGGUCAAUCAAGAUAUGGAUACCUGUGGUAAUUCUAGAGCUAAUACAUGCAUAAAUGCCCGACUUUUUGGAAGGGCAGUAUUUAUUAGAUACAGAACCAAUCCGGCAACGGUCCUUUGGUGAUUCAUAAUAAAUGAACGGAGCGAACAGCAUGCGCUGUCGCUGUAUCAUUCAAGUUUCUGACCUAUCAGCUUUCGAUGGUAGGGUAUUGGCCUACCAUGGCAUUGACGGGUGACGGAGAAUUAGGGUUCGAUUCCGGAGAGGGAGCCCGAGAAACGGCUACCACAUCUAAGGAAGGCAGCAGGCGCGCAAAUUACCCAAUCCUGACUCAGGGAGGUAGUGACAAGAAGUAACAAGGCGAUCCUCAUCCGAGGUAUUGCUAUUGGAAUGAGUAGAAUUUAGAUAUCUCUACGAAUGCAAUUGGAGGGCAAGUCUGGUGCCAGCAGCCGCGGUAAUUCCAGCUCCAAUAGCGUAUAUUAAAGUUGUUGCGGUUAAAAAGCUCGUAGUUGGAUUUCUGUUGAGAGUGGCCAGUCCGCACUUUGUGCGAGUAUUUGGUUCAGUCUUGGCAUCCUCCUGGGGAGCGUAAUUGUACUUGAUUGUAUGAUACGUAAUUCAGGACUUUUACUUUGAGGAAAUUAGAGUGUUCACGGCAGGCCUUCGCCCUGAAUAUGUUAGCAUGGAAUAAUAAUAUAAGACCUCGGUUUUAUUUUGUUGGUUUCUAGAAGCGAGGUAAUGAUUAAUAGGGACAAUUGGGGGUAUUCGAAUUAACGCGUCAGAGGUGGAAUUCUUGGAUUGCGUUACGACGAACUACUGCGAAAGCAUUUACCAAGGAUGUUUUCAUUGAUCAAGAACGAAGUCAGGGGAUCGAAGACGAUUAGAUACCGUCGUAGUCUUGACCAUAAACUAUGCCGACUAGGGAUUGCGGUCGCUCUUUUACGCUCGUCAGCACUUAUGAGAAAUCAAGUCUUUGGGUUCCGGGGGAGUAUGGUCGCAAGGCUG